GUUCAUCUCGGUCGUUCUCCUUCCUCCACAGUAGUGCAUCUCUGCUGCUCGUCCCUUGGUUGCUGGUUUUUUUAUCUGCUGAUGGACCCUUGUCCCAUUAUUUCAUAUAUACAAGACAUUAAUUACUAUCUAACUGGACCACUGCAAGAUUGGAUAUCUAAACCAGAAGAUUUUGUGCAAGUCAGAGCAGAGGUCUUUACUCCCUUUGUUAGAUCAUCCGGAGAAAGCUGAACUUGAUUCGGUACUUGACUGCUCAGAUUCAACUGUCAAAACUAAACUCCAGCGCAUCAUGCUAAUCCAAACAGAUCUUUGGAUCUUGCUCCUGAACGUGCUUUUGCUGAUGUUGUUCUUUGCAAUUUGGUUUACCAUAUGGUGAUCAUAAACUUUUUCAGUUAAAUUGAGUUUAUUUGCC
This is a non-coding RNA of Arachis ipaensis, 412 nucleotides long. The record is from RefSeq and is a predicted model, not a curated record. Lineage: Eukaryota; Viridiplantae; Streptophyta; Magnoliopsida; Fabales; Fabaceae.